CCUACGGGAGGCAGCAGUAGGGAAUAUUGCUCAAUGGGGGAAACCCUGAAGCAGCAACGCCGCGUGGAGGAUGAAGGUUUUCGGAUUGUAAACUCCUUUUGUUAGAGAAGAUAAUGACGGUAUCUAACGAAUAAGCACCGGCUAACUCCGUACCAGCAGCCGCGGUAAUACGGAGGGUGCAAGCGUUAUUCGGAAUCACUGGGCGUAAAGAGCGCGUAGGCGGGAUAGCCAGUCAGAUGUGAAAUCCUAGGGCUUAACCAUAGAACUGCAUUUGAAACUGUUAGUCUAGAGUAUGGGAGAGGUAGGUGGAAUUCUUGGUGUAGGGGUAAAAUCCGUAGAGAUCAAGAGGAAUACUCAUUGCGAAGGCGACCUGCUAGAACAUAACUGACGCUGAUGCGCGAAAGCGUGGGGAGCAAACAGGAUUAGAUACCCGGGUAGUC
This 440-nucleotide ribosomal RNA is filed under the name uncultured bacterium. RNAcentral describes it as "partial 16S ribosomal RNA". It matches the Rfam family "Bacterial small subunit ribosomal RNA", at positions 338 to 795 of the family's 1533-position model. The record is from RNAcentral.